GAUUGGACUUUAUUUUCAUGCUGUGAUUGGUUGUCCUAAGACUUGCUCUCAUCCAAUCAGAAUCGAAGCUGGGAGCUCAGCUUAGAGAACAGGAAGUGGGAGCCACAUACCCCGAGCUGGCGGCUUGAGCCUGUGGUAUCUAGGCUCACCUCACUGCGGUUGGUGGAGGUGAUGGAGGUUGCAGCUUGGCCAGCAUGGUAGAAAGGUGGCAGGGUAGGCACGUCUGGCUUUUACCACCCAGUUGCUUCGAGCCAGGAGAUGGAGGAGUCAUCUGUUGCACGCUGGAGGCUGGAGCCUGCAGAUGGCAUGGUUCUGUGGCUCACCUCGCUGCAGUUGGUGGCAGAGACAGAGACUGCAGCUUGACCAGAGUGGUGGAGUGAUAUGUAUCUCAAGAGCACUCCACAACAAAGAUUCUGCCUGCAAUCCUCCACUUCAAGGUCUGUUCCAGGAAACCUGUGUAACACAGUUAUGCAUAGAGUGGUCUUAGGAAGCUGACUCUAACAUGAAAAUUUAGAGUUGGAUCUUUUGCUGACAUAUUGAAUAUUCAUAAGAGCAUAUGAUACAUUUGUCUAUCAUAAACAUGUCAUUUCAAAAAACCCUCAAAGUUGCCUUGUAGAACAUAAUUUUAAAACUAGUGUGUAGGAAUAUUUCAUAUCAGUUAUUCAGUCUUCUUAAUAUCUGAACCGAAAUUAAUCUUCCAUUCUGCUUUUAUUUAUAAAUAAUGAUUUAUUGUCAGAUUCAAUAAUUUAUAUUUUCAUUUAUUCUAAGGUAGGAAAUACCAGCAUAAAAAUAAAUUAUUUGAAACAAAUCACAUUGUUGUCCCAUUUUACCAUUACUCACAUGUAGAAGAUAUUGUUUUUAACAAAAACAAUAAGAGAAACAGAAACUACCAUUUAUUAACUGAUGCUUACUGGAAGCUUUAGAAGGAUCUUAUUUAACUUUCAAUCAAGUUUUUCAUGGACAUUUUUGUUAUUGAGAAAUAAUUUUAAUUUAUCAGAUCCUCAAAGCAAAUUAUAUAGGUGCCAUUAUUAACAGAUUUUUUAAAAAAACCUGAUUCAUAGAAAAGGUUAAUGAUAUGGUUUGGAUCUUUGACCCCAUCAAAUCUCAUGUUGAAUUGCAAUCCCCAGUGCUGGAAGUGGGGCCUGGUGGGAGCUGAUUAAAUUAUGGAGGUGGAGUUCUCGUGAAUGGUAUAGCACCAUUCCUUUGGUGCUGUCUUGUGGUUGAGUUUUCAUGACAUUUGGUUGUUUAAAAGUUUGUGGCAUCUUUCCCAUCUCUCUCUUGCUCUUCCUGCAGCCAGGUGAAGGGCUGUUCCCCCUUUGCCUUCUGCCAUGAUUGUAAAUUUCCUGAGGCCUCCCCAAAAGCUGAGCAGGUGUCAGCAUCAUGCUUCCUUAACAGCCAAUGGAAUUACGAGUCAAUUAAAUCUAUUUUCCUUAUAAAUUACAAGUCUUCAGUUUUUCUUCAUAGCAGUGAGGAAAUGAACUAAUUCAGCUAGUAAAUGACAAAUGCCAUAAAAAUAGCAAAUAGCACAAGAAGAUAUCCAACCAAGACUAGGGGACUCCAGAACCUAAGGAUUUCUGAAAGCAUAGGUUUUUAAGAGUGUGAAGAAACUAAGCCUGGGACACAUUUAGGAACUCAAUUACAUAAGAAAUAAAAAUCAUAUAUAGACUAUUUAAAUUUAGAAGAGGAGGAGGAGAGAAGAAAGAUAAGGAAGAGGAGGAGGAGGAAGAAGAAGACAUUCUGGCUUAGCACAUUUACUCUAGUCUAUAGGGAAAGCUCAGUUAUACCCGUUCCCCACUAACCCUAAGAGGAGCUCUAAUGUUCAUAAGGGGCUUUCUCAAGGACUCAAAUAAAUCCUCAGGGAUACAAAACGAUGGGAUACCAAGCAGUAGAGUUGUGUGUGUGUGUGUGUGUGUGUGUGUGUGUGUGUGUGUGUGUGUGUUAGACAAAUAGAUGAAAAAUUUUAUUUUCUUUUGAGACAUAAUCAUUUUGUUUGGAGUCUCUCUCUUUUUCUCUCGAUUCUCUUUCUCUCCCUCUGUCUUUCUUUUUCUUUCUCACUUUCCCUUUGCAAUACUAGUGAAGUAAGACAAAAUGAAAUGAGCAUGGGAUCUUUCUCUAGCUUGAUAGAUCGUUUGUUAUUAUUUGUUUCUUCAUUACAAACUUCCCUGUUAAACUUUCAUGGCUUAAAACAAAAUACUAUAUCUUGUUCCUGAAACUGAACUUUGGGCAGGGCCCAGUGUGAAGGUCUCAUCUCUGUCUAUGUCAAUCAGGUCAGCUGAGGAAAUUCAACUGGGGCUCCAGGCAUAAUUUUCAAGACAGCUCACAGAUGUCACCAAUGUGACAUAAUAAAUGACACCAAUUAUUAUUUAAGAGAAAUUGAAAAGGCUUUUAAAAAUGGCUUGUCUCUAGCUUCAUCCAUGUCCCUACAGCAAACUGUCACAAGGACAAAAAAUCAAACACCGCUUGUUCUCACUCAUAGGUGCGAAUUGAACAAUGAGAACAUUUGGACACAGGAAGGGGAACAUUACACACCGGGGCCUGUUGUGGGGUGGGGGGAGCGGGGAGGGAUAGCAUUAGGAGAUAUACCCAAUGUAAGUGACGAGUUAAUGGGUGCAGCACACCAACAUGGCACAUGUAUACAUAUGUAAUAAACCUGCAUGUUGUGCACAUGUACCCUAGAACUUAAAGUAUAAUAAAAAAAAAAAAACGGCUUGUCUCUAUUUACCAUCCUAGGAUUCUUAACACUGUGGAUGACCUCCUUUUCUAAAGAAAUUUUUUCCUUUUUGAUUUAUUGAAUGUUUUAUUCUAAUUUCUCUACCUCUUUGACUGCUUCUCUCUCUCUACUUGUAAACAGUUGUCUUUCAAGGCAAGGUCAUGGUUUUGAUGUCUUAUAUUCCACCAAGAAAACAAAAAGUGGUGGCUUCAAUAAUUGCCUUUAGUCACAGGAGCCUGAGUCCUGGACUCAGACUUCCUGGAAUUGAAUCUCUCUCUCCAGGUACUCGGUGUCUCCAUACCUCAGUUUUCUUAUAGGUAAAAAUCUGGUGUAUUAGUCAGGUUUCUCUAGGGCAACAGGACUAAGAGGAUAGAUGUAGAUAUGAAAGGGAGUUUAUUAAGGAAUACUGACUCAUAUGAUCACAAGGUGAAGUCCCACAAAAGGCUGUCUGUAAGCUGAGGAGCAAGGAAGCCAGACCGUGUCCCAAAACCUCCAAAGUAGGGAAGCCAACAGUGCAAUCUUCAGUCUGUGGCCAAAGGCCCCUGACAAAGCACUGGAGUAAGUCCAAGAGUCCAAAACCUGAAGAACUUGGAGUCUGAUGUCCAAGGGCAGGAGGUAUCCAGCACGAGAGAAAGGUGGAGGCCAGAAAUCUCAGGCAGUCUAAUCUUUCCAUGUUCCUCUGCCUAUUUUUAUCCUAGCUGCACUGGAAGCUGAGUAGGUGUUGCCCACCCAGAUUAAGGGUGGAUCUGCCUCUCCUAGCCCAUUGACUCAAACAUUAAUCUCCCUUGGCAACACCUUCACAGACACACCCAGGAACAAUAAUUUUCAUUCUUCAAUAUGAUCAAGUUCAUACUCAAUAUUAACCACCACAUUUAGGAAAUUAUACUGCCUUGCUCAUAGGGACAUUAUAAGGAUUAAAAUGUGAAAAUAGGCUUAAAACAUCUGGCACAUUAUAUAUUAAGCACUUAUUAACAUGGGCUGUUUACUUCGGCCCUGACCUGAACGAUUCUUCUCAACCAUUUUUCUUGUUCCUGUUCUUCUUGCUCAAUUUAAUAUUUUCUCCUGAUUUCCAGAGAGUAAUUAGUAGUUAAAAAUAAAGACUUAGUGAUUAAAAG
RNAcentral lists this long non-coding RNA (3825 nucleotides) under Homo sapiens (human). RNAcentral describes it as "HSALNT0371986". Lineage: Eukaryota; Metazoa; Chordata; Mammalia; Primates; Hominidae. The record is from RNAcentral.